This is a long non-coding RNA of Canis lupus familiaris (dog), 1472 nucleotides long. RefSeq lists it as uncharacterized. NCBI's taxonomy places the organism in Eukaryota, Metazoa, Chordata, Mammalia, Carnivora, Canidae. The transcript is spliced from 3 exons. The record is from RefSeq and is a predicted model, not a curated record.
UAAAGCCAUAGAGGUGAAUGCUACCAAGUGGGGGUAGGGAGGCAGUUAGAAGAAAGUGGGAUCCUGCCCUAAGUAAUACAACAAGAGUCAGAGAGGUAAGAGGAAUGGUUUGGCAAGUGUGGUGAGUCAUGACUCAAAGAAAAGAAGAAUUUUCCAGAAAGGGAAAGUGGUCAACUUUCCACAUCAGUUAAGCCAUGAGCAGUACAUCAACUCAGGAAUGGGAAGCGCUCUUGAUCACAGGAGUGAAGCGGAGAGCUUUCUGGAGUAUUACUGAAGGCAGGAGCCAGGUUGGAAGAGCCCCCAGCUCAUCUCUUUGCCUAAUGACUGAGUCAGAGAAUGUAUCGUUGGCAAUGUCUAGGGACAUUUCCACUAUGAUUUUUGCAAGAAAUUGAAUAAUCUAAGACUUCCCAUUCGACUCCCUUCUGCUCUAUCCAAUGAAACUGUCACAUAGAAGCAUCACAUAGAAUCUCCAGGUCAGAAUGGCUAGGAUUAGAAGACAGCGAGGUGUUCUGUAUACGUUUGUGUAGCAAAGGCCUUAUGAAACAUGUAACACUUGACCCAGCGAUAAACACCUGCACAAUCCACCUCGAUGAUUCUCCUUCCAGCAAAUGUAUCCCAAAUGAGCGAUCAGAGAUGCACUCAACUAUGUAUGCAGAUGUAGAGGUCUCCAGCUAAAGACACGGAUAUGCACACCAGCCUGUGGUAGGCAUCUUUGGACAUGACUUCAAUUUACUCUGUCUUCUGGUCUUCAUGCUCUUAUGUUACCCCACUGGAUGUGGGCUGCACUUAGCCACUUGUUUCUAUCACAGAUAGAACAUGGCAAAAUGACGGGAUGGCUCUUCUGUGAUUAGGUUAGAAAGACUGACGUCUAUCUUGCUGGCAUGCAUACGUUCUCUCUCUCUCUCUCUCUUUCUCUCUUUCUCUCUCUCUCUCUCUUUCUCACCCUCUCCCUUGCUCUGAUGAUGUUAGCCGUCAGGCUGUGAGCUGCCCUAUGCAGAGGUCCACGCAGAAAAGGAUGAAGGGAGGACCCUAUCCAACAGCCCGUGAAGAACUGAGGCACUCAGACCACCAACCCACAAAGAACUGAAUCCUGCCAACAACCACAUGCCUGCUCUAGGAAGUGGGUCCUUGCCGGUCAAGCCUUUAGAUGAGACCAGAGCCCCGGCCAACACCUUGAUGAGAGUCUGUGCAUGACCCAGAGCCAGAGGACCCAGCUAAGCCAUGCUCAGAUUCCCACCUGCACAGACUGUGUUAAUAAAAAGUAGUUUUAAGCCACGAAGUUUUUGGGUAACUUGUUAUAGAAGAUUAUAUAACGAAUCCACAGCUUUAUUUAUAAAACUAUAAAAUUGGAAACAAUAAAAGUGUACAUUAAGAAAAAAAUUAAGUAAACUGUAAAGGACCCAAAUAAUGGUAUGCUGUGGACCAUGUUAAAAAAUAUUAUUUCUUGCUAUAGAGAAAAGUUUAUGACAUAG